GCCGCUCCGCGGCAUGUGGGAUCUUCCCGGACCGGGGCACGAACCCGUGUCUCCUGCAUCGGUAGGCAGACUCUCAACCACUGCGCCACCAGGGAAGCCCUGUAACCUCCUAACACGCAGGCUACACACUUCUGGUUGUGCUUGUGUAUUCCUAAUAUCAGCUGACAUUUCCCAGCCCCUGGAAUCUACAUGAGAUUGCCUCAAGCCCCAUCCCAAACACUGGAGAUAACCAAGGCCUCCACAAAAGUUCUGUGAAUUUGAGGUUGACAGAAGAUCCUGAUCUACUUAGAAAAAUCACUGCUGUUAUAAGAACAUGCUGCCUCAAGCCUAGUGAUCUGUGGCUGUAGAAGCUGCUUUUGGAAGCUCGUAGCUGUAAUCGGAGAGCAGCAGAUGCCUGCGUCUGCCAGGAGCCGCAGGACCACAGCAGCAGAAGCUGGUGCCCUCUGCUUGUUUGUGUUCAUGCUCUGCUUGGGCUACUGUUGUCUUUGGAAGGAGUGACAUUAAUGCAGGGAAAUCAAUCCAUUUUGUGUGACACUAAAUAUUUUCAUUUGCUGUGUAAUCAUGUAUAUAGUCCCUAUUCCUGAUGAAUCCUGAAGUAGGCUCAGGAGGGUGUCCAGGUUUAUUGUAGAGAAGGAAGACAUAGCAAUGUCAGUCUUACAAAAGGCAAGUAAAAAGAAGCAAGUUUAUGGAUGUUAAUUAACUCUUCAUAAUGAUCUGUAAUUUCCUUAGUUUAUUUUUCAUAUACCUCGCUUUCAGUUUGGUGCAUAAUUUAGCCAUAAUUCAUAUGGCUAACACAUGGAUCCAAACCAAAAUAUGUACAAUCCAUAAUACAUACAUCCAAAAAUAUAAAAGAUACUGUUACUUCUGUUUCCACUUAAUGCUUCAUGACUGGUUGACUCUCAAUUUUCCUACAGAUAUUAGUAAUGGGGUUGUAGACUAAAUAUUUAUGUGUAAUCUCCUCUAAAAUUUUUAGGAAAAAAUAUGAGUCUCAAGGAAAAAUAAAUUGUAAACACUUCCUGAAUGGAUUUAGUAGACAGAAAAAAAAAUGCUAGGAAAAAAUGGUUAAGAAUUAAUUAUCUCUGUAUAUGAUUGACAUUUAAUAAGAAAGAGUUCUCAAAGAACUGCUAACCCAGCAAGAAUUACAUGAAAACAGAAGUGCAAUUCUUAAUGGAAAUUUAUUCCAGCUAUUCACUACCUUAGUGAUUAAUGUGAAAUCUUUCCAUCUACUUAUUGUGUCAAUUUAAUAAAACUUUUAAAAGAAUUUGAUAAAAAUUAACAAAAUGGUCAUCUCUCUAAUUUUGCAGAAAUUCCUCAUGUCCACACAUCUAGUCCUAUAGGGUUGUUUUCUUAAAUGUGGAGGAGACACAGGAAAAGAGGCCAUAUGACUAGGUAUGCUAUUAUGUUAUUUACAACAGCAAAU
Long non-coding RNA from Physeter macrocephalus (sperm whale), 1420 nucleotides. RefSeq lists it as uncharacterized. The record is from RefSeq and is a predicted model, not a curated record. The transcript has 4 exons. NCBI's taxonomy places the organism in Eukaryota, Metazoa, Chordata, Mammalia, Artiodactyla, Physeteridae.